This 71-nucleotide transfer RNA is filed under the name Mus musculus (house mouse). RNAcentral's name for it is "tRNA-Ala". Lineage: Eukaryota; Metazoa; Chordata; Mammalia; Rodentia; Muridae. The record is from RNAcentral.
GAGAUGAUAGCUCAGUGGUAGAGGACACACCCUGCACCUGUGAGGUCCUGGGUUCUAGCCGCAGCAUCCCC